Molecule: ribosomal RNA, 464 nt
Filed under: uncultured bacterium
Lineage: Bacteria
Description: partial 16S ribosomal RNA
Rfam family: Bacterial small subunit ribosomal RNA
Source: RNAcentral
AACGCUGGCGGCGUGCUUAACACAUGCAAGUCGGACGGAAAGGCCCUGCUUUUGUGGGGUGCUCGAGUGGCGAACGGGUGAGUAGCACGUGAGUAACCUGCCCUUGACUUUGGGAUAACUUCAGGAAACUGGGGCUAAUACCGGAUAGGAGCUCCUGCUGCAUGGUGGGGGUUGGAAAGUUUCGGCGGUUGGGGAUGGACUCGCGGCUUAUCAGCUUGUUGGUGGGGUAGUGGCUUACCAAGGCUUUGACGGGUAGCCGGCCUGAGAGGGUGACCGGCCACAUUGGGACUGAGAUACGGCCCAGACUCCUACGGGAGGCAGCAGUGGGGAAUAUUGCACAAUGGGCGGAAGCCUGAUGCAGCAACGCCGCGUGCGGGAUGACGGCCUUCGGGUUGUAAACCGCUUUCGCCUGUGACGAAGCGUGAGUGACGGUAAUGGGUAAAGAAGCACCGGCUAACUACGUG